RNAcentral lists this ribosomal RNA (468 nucleotides) under uncultured bacterium. Its description in RNAcentral is "partial 16S ribosomal RNA". It matches the Rfam family "Bacterial small subunit ribosomal RNA", at positions 28 to 507 of the family's 1533-position model. The record is from RNAcentral.
GACGAACGCUGGCGGCGUGCUUAACACAUGCAAGUCGAACGGAAAGGCCCUGCUUUUGUGGGGUGCUCGAGUGGUGAACGGGUGAGUCACACGUGAGUAACCUGCCCUUGACUUUGGGAUAACUUCAGGAAACUGGGGCUAAUACCGGAUAGGAGCUCCUGCUGCAUGGUGGGGGUUGGAAAGUUUCGGCGGUUGGGGAUGGACUCGCGGCUUAUCAGCUUGUUGGUGGGGUAGUGGCUUACCAAGGCUUUGACGGGUAGCCGGCCUGAGAGGGUGACCGGCCACAUUGGGACUGAGAUACGGCCCAGACUCCUACGGGAGGCAGCAGUGGGGAAUAUUGCACAAUGGGCGGAAGCCUGAUGCAGCAACGCCGCGUGCGGGAUGACGGCCUUCGGGUUGUAAACCGCUUUCGCCUGUGACGAAGCGUGAGUGACGGUAAUGGGUAAAGAAGCACCGGCUAACUACGUG